This 450-nucleotide ribosomal RNA is filed under the name uncultured bacterium. RNAcentral describes it as "partial 16S ribosomal RNA". It matches the Rfam family "Bacterial small subunit ribosomal RNA", at positions 354 to 796 of the family's 1533-position model. The record is from RNAcentral.
GUGGGGAAUAUUGGACAAUGGGCGAAAGCCUGAUCCAGCCAUGCCGCGUGUGUGAAGAAGGUCUUCGGAUUGUAAAGCACUUUAAGUUGGGAGGAAGGGCAGUAAGUUAAUACCUUGCUGUUUUGACGUUACCGACAGAAUAAGCACCGGCUAACUUCGUGCCAGCAGCCGCGGUAAUACGAAGGGUGCAAGCGUUAAUCGUAAUUACUGGGCGUAAAGCGCGCGUAGGUUGUUUUGUAAGUUGGAGGUGAAAUCCCCGGGCUCAACCUGGGAACUGCCUCCAAAACUGCAUGACUAGAGUACGGUAGAGGGUAGUGGAAUUUCCUGUGUAGCGGUGAAAUGCGUAGAUAUAGGAAGGAACACCAGUGGCGAAGGCGACUACCUGGACUGAUACUGACACUGAGGUGCGAAAGCGUGGGGAGCAAACAGGAUUAGAAACCCGGGUAGUCC